RNAcentral lists this long non-coding RNA (2238 nucleotides) under Bemisia tabaci. RNAcentral's name for it is "lncRNA ENSSSA1UGG002032". The record is from RNAcentral. Lineage: Eukaryota; Metazoa; Arthropoda; Insecta; Hemiptera; Aleyrodidae.
CUCGGUUCCUUUCUCUAAAAGAAUCCUCUUUUUAAGUGCCUCUCGAUAGAUAAUGAUGCUAAACUAGAUGAGGCAAAUGAUAAAUUGAAGAAAAAAGGAUUUAAGGAAAAACUGGUGAGAUUUCAAUGAACACCCACUAUUUAGCCAGUAUCAAGUAUUAAUUUAAUGUGCGUUGUUUACUAGUAACUGCUGUAUACCAUUCACUUACAUAUCCUUAACUUACGACUCAUGAAUUCUGAUAAAGAUAUGAAAUCAGAGGCUGAAGAAGAGGAUGUGCUAAAUGUCCGAUUUAAAUCUAUUUUUAAAAACCUAAAAACGUUCUCGUUGAUUUUAUAAUAUUUCAGAUCAAUGCGGCGCACGCAAUCUGACAAUACAAUUGGCUAUGUGCAAUUGAAGCGGGAGGGCAGGCUCUGCCACGUAAUUGCCAAUUCUGAGGAUAAAAUUCAAGAAGGUACGUACCGGGCUCACUGUAAGGUGGAUGAAGGUGGAAAGUAUUCAACUAUUCAGGCAGCUUACUGUGAGGAUUGCGCAGCAUCUCAAGGAGGAAAUUGCAAACAUGCAAUUGCUUUUGGUGACUUAGUUACAUCGAAGAAGUGAGGAGCCGUCGAUCACCGAAAAGCACUGCAAUUGGAACAUAUCAUGGCUCUCCGAAGAUGGGACAAGCUUCAUGACAACAGCAGAGAUUGUGAGAGAGACGGGAAAGUCGAAGAGAUGAAAAACGCAAAAAUCAAAACAGCAGAUAAAACCUAAAAAAGCUAAGAGUGCAAUCACACCUGCGGAUAAAACGUUUGCUAAAGAGCUUGCUUCGACUUAAAAGACAAGAGUGGUAAAUAUGUUCUUACUUUUUGUAUACUUCAUUUACUCUGUGGCAUAUUGACACAGUAUUCAUUGAUUUUAUAAAAAGGAAAAAGCAAAAAAACUUCAACUUUUAGUGGAAGAGAUCCCGUAAAAGCGUUUUUUUUUGCGAUACAUCCUACUUCGGACAAACUCUUUAAUUAAGGAGAUGUUGGAUUUGCUCUGAAAUAUGUCUGAACUUUCAAAGUUUCUACACAACGCACAUACACUCAUAAACACUCAUUGUUAAAUGGAAGUUUUAGAGGAGAAGCAUCUUAAGGAGAAGCAUCUUGAGGAUGAAAGGCAAGAGAUUUAUGCAAUUUGAAGAGAGUCAAGAGAAGGAUCACGCAAGGAACAAAAGAGUGCGUGAGAUCAUGAACGCCAAGCAGAACAUCGUACAUGGAAUCAUGACCAAACAGCUUGUCUGGUAUGGUCAUUUUCAACGAAUGGCGGUUAAUAGGUUGCCUAGAUUGGAUUCCUCUUCGGAGAAGACGCAGGGGACGUCCAGCAAAAUCGUGGAUAGGUGGCAUUCAAGAUGAAAUCACAAGAUGCCAUUUACCAGAUGACCUCUGGAUCGAUAUGCAAGGAUGGCGAUUAGGUGUCGCAGAGCGCCCGGGCGCGCUGUAAAGCGACUCGAAUGUAUGUAUCUUGAGGAUGAAACUACGAAACCUUGCAUCUCGUUUUGCGACGUGGGGGAUAUUUCAGGUCCAAAGACGCAACUGCUUCUGUCAUACUGAAAUCGUCUACACAAAUGUAGUUCCUUAUCCAUUUUGCUGAAGUAAUAUAAUUUUUAUCUUACUCCUCUCAUCAAAGGAAUAUUUUGUUUUGAAAUCAGGUGAAUUUUGACCUUCUUUCAUUAAGAUACAAGUUUUUGUACAUGGUUCCACUACCAAUACAAGUCCCAGAUCUUUAUGCGUUUCUCUCUCCCAUCGCUUGAAUUUAAGGUUUCUAUUUUUCAAGAGUUCAUAAUAUAAUGAUGCAGAACUUAACAGCAUGACGGUUAAUGUGUUCUUAUUGCAUGCCUCAUCAUGAGUAGUUUUGGGGGGAGCUGAGGUGGAGAUAUUGCAAGCGGCCGUGAAAUGCAUCCGUUUCCACUUUUUCAUUUAUUCAUACGCGGAUGGAGAGGGGGUGGCUCUGCUCUCUCGAGUACUUGCCUAAUUGAUACUGCGUUCGUAAUAAAAAUUCUUUUUUUUAAUUUUGUAAGUAACAUCAUUUUUUACCUCUCGCCGACUCACUUGACACGGCCAUAUUUAUUUUUUAAUUCAGCUCUCCCCGGUAUUAAAUGGUAUUAUUACCGCAUAUCCCUUCAUACAUCCUAACAUCUCCAGUGCGUUUCCAUUGUUGACGAAUGUAUACCCGAAAUAAAUUAUCAGGUAUGCUGAUGUUCUUUGGAACAAUCCUACU